GAGUGGAGAGCUGCAGUAAACACUUUGUGAUUUGGUCAGGAAGGUCCCUGGAGGCCAUACUGCUGGGAUCCAGAAGUGCUGGGAGCCCUGGAGACCGAGGAAGAGGUACAUUAGGAACUUCAUUACCGAGAAGCUCGUCUGUGGAGGUUAUCCCUGACCCUUCGGUUCCAUCCUGGGAAUCACAGAUCCUUCCAGUAGUUCCUGGUCCUACAUUCAAGUACCUCAAGAGGGUGGGGCUCAAUGGCUGGGGCCUCUUUUCCACUCCUGUAGGACCCCGUCCACCCUUGGGGCCAUCGGACGCGUUUUUCUUUCCAACUGGGACUUUCUUCCCUCCCUCACAAGCUUCUGAUCUCAUUUAAAACAGAACGCCACUUCCCGAGGAGAAGGAGGUGACAAGCCUUUCCCUGGCUCUGCCCGACAUUCUUUCGUGGCUCCUCCCUUCUGUUCCUCGACGCUCAUUUUUCCAGAUGGUUUUACCUUCUGUGACUGCUCACGUGGUCACCCGGCUGAUGCUGACCCCCGGGUCCCUUGCUCACCUGUGAUUCCUCAUCUUGGCUCACUGGGUUACCCUGGCACAGCUGUACUCACGGCGCAGGGUGGAGGUGGGGGAGGGAGGGGAAGGGAGCUAUUGAACAAGUGAGGAGCCGCACUGUAUCCUGCUCAGGCCCGGCUACGGAGAGUGCCCACUCUGUCAAGGCAGCAGGAGUCAAAGUCAGAAGCAAGCAGCCUAAUGGCCUGGGCCAAGUUUUUUAGAGGAAACUCAAAGAUGCAGGGCUAUUAAAAAUUGAUAUUUCAAUGA
Molecule: long non-coding RNA, 799 nt
Organism: Mesocricetus auratus (golden hamster)
Lineage: Eukaryota; Metazoa; Chordata; Mammalia; Rodentia; Cricetidae
Exons: 3
Source: RefSeq, a predicted model, not a curated record